RNAcentral lists this ribosomal RNA (467 nucleotides) under uncultured bacterium. RNAcentral's name for it is "partial 16S ribosomal RNA". It matches the Rfam family "Bacterial small subunit ribosomal RNA", at positions 28 to 506 of the family's 1533-position model. The record is from RNAcentral.
GACGAACGCUGGCGGCGUGCUUAACACAUGCAAGUCGAACGGAAAGGCCCUGCUUUUGUGGGGUGCUCGAGUGGCGAACGGGUGAGUAACACGUGAGUAACCUGCCCUUGACUUUGGGAUAACUUCAGGAAACUGGGGCUAAUACCGGAUAGGAGCUCCUGCUGCAUGGUGGGGGUUGGAAAGUUUCGGCGGUUGGGGAUGGACUCGCGGCUUAUCAGCUUGUUGGUGGGGUAGUGGCUUACCAAGGCUUUGACGGGUAGCCGGCCUGAGAGGGUGACCGGCCACGUGGGGACUGAAAUACGGCCCAGACGCGUACGGGGGGCAAGAGAGGGGAAUAUUAAACAAAGGGCGGAAGCCUGAGGCAGCAACGCCGCGUGGGGGAAGACGCCCUUCGGGUUGGAAACCGCUUUCGCCUGUAAAGAGGGGUGAGUGAGGGUAAUGGGUAAAGAAGCACCGCUCAACUACGG